UAGUUGUGCACCUCCGAACGUUUCAAGAACUGUGGAAAGGUGUUGGGUUCGAAGAAGGAAAAGCUAGGACGAUAACUCUAUCGUUGUAGUCUUCUUACCCAUGGGAAAGUAGAGCUUUAAAGUCCCCGCAGAGCGGUUAAUGUACAGAGGACUCUAGCGAGUCAACUCGCAGUACACCGAUCAAAAUUGCCAUCAAGCAAUCCAUCAACAGUCUGUUCAAAGACAUUUCAACCAUCAACAGUCUUUUUCAUCAUUCAAUACAACUACCUAAUGAACAGACAUUAUACACUUCUGGCUAAUCCUGGUUUUUAGCAAACUAUUUUCAUUUGGUUUUCCUAUGUCUCAACUCAACCUUCUCCAAUCUCUUGCCAUUCAGAUGGCUUGGGAACUCUUUUUGGAUCUGACAUGCCAUCAUAUUUGGAGGGUGCCACUUUUGGAAUUGCUUCCUCUAUUUUUACGCCCAUCCACCUCACAUAACCAAGAAAGAAGAAUAAUUCCCAAUCACAGGAAGGAAAGCAGCAAUGUUCAUGGUUGGCAUGUAAUUUUUGUCCAGGAAUGGAAUCUAUCUUCAGAAAUCCAGCAGGUUCUGACAGAUUCUCGAGAACAGUGCUUUUCAAGGGAACUUGGCAUGCAAGAAUUAAGUGAGAGAAGCUUUUCCUGGACUGGCAAAAAAGCAGCUGAGAAACCAGAACUUGUUUAAUUUCUGCACUGCAGCUUCUAAAAGCCGUAUGAACCGGGCCAACAGAGGAUGCCAAUCCAAAUAGCUCUUAAAGGAAAAGCCAGAUAAUAUUUUUCUAUGAAUCCUGGACCCUAAAAUGUUGAUACAUUGUGGCGCCAUACAGAUUUCCAUGGUGCAAAAAGCAUAGAAGAGUUCAUCCGGCUAGAUCAUUAUUUUUCUGAUUAUAAUAGUUUCAUUUCCUUCAUGAGCGGCUUACUGUUAUUUUUUUAAAAUUUAAAUGUAAAAAGAAUCUGUAAUUAUUUCAGGUGGAAAGAACUACCUGAAUUUGUUAUAUUGCUGUUUAAGUAAAUAUUUAUUAGAAGACUUUCAUUGAUACAUGAAUAUUGUGUGAUAGAGA
Long non-coding RNA from Ahaetulla prasina, 1076 nucleotides. RefSeq lists it as uncharacterized. The record is from RefSeq and is a predicted model, not a curated record. NCBI's taxonomy places the organism in Eukaryota, Metazoa, Chordata, Lepidosauria, Squamata, Colubridae. The transcript has 4 exons.